This 266-nucleotide unclassified non-coding RNA is filed under the name uncultured fungus. RNAcentral's name for it is "partial contains 5.8S ribosomal RNA, internal transcribed spacer 2, and large subunit ribosomal RNA". The stretch from base 1 to 52 matches the Rfam family "5.8S ribosomal RNA", at positions 103 to 154 of the family's 154-position model. The record is from RNAcentral. Lineage: Eukaryota; Fungi.
AACGCACCUUGCGCCUCUUGGUAUUCCGAGAGGCAUGCCUGUUUGAGUGUCACGAAAUCUCAAUCCCCGAGGGUUUUUGUAACCCGCGGUGGACUUGGACUUGGGUGUCUGCCUCCCCAGGCUCGCCUCAAAUGUAUCAGUGGGAUCCGGUGGUCUAUGCCCGACGUAAUAAGUUUCGUCUCGGCCGAUCGCCUGGGCCCGCUCACAACACCCCAUAUACCUUUGACAUUGACCUCAAAUCAGGUAGGGCUACCCGCUGAACUUAA